UACAGAGGUCUCAAGCGUUGUUCGGAUUCAUUGGGCGUAAAGGGUGCGUAGGCGGUCUGUUGCGUCCGCUGUGAAAACCCGGGGCUUAACCCCUGGCUUGCAGUGGAUACGGACAGACUAGAGGUAGGUAGGGGAGAAUGGAAUUCCAGGUGUAGCGGUGAAAUGCGUAGAUAUCUGGAGGAACACCGGUGGCGAAGGCGGCAUCCUGGACCAACACUGACGCUGAGGAGCGAAAGCCAGGGGAGCAAACGGG
This 253-nucleotide ribosomal RNA is filed under the name uncultured bacterium. RNAcentral describes it as "partial 16S ribosomal RNA". It matches the Rfam family "Bacterial small subunit ribosomal RNA", at positions 524 to 776 of the family's 1533-position model. The record is from RNAcentral.